Long non-coding RNA from Hylaeus anthracinus, 3928 nucleotides. RefSeq lists it as uncharacterized. The transcript is spliced from 4 exons. Lineage: Eukaryota; Metazoa; Arthropoda; Insecta; Hymenoptera; Colletidae. The record is from RefSeq and is a predicted model, not a curated record.
UUCUACACCCGAAAUAAUUGCCAAGCAAACCACAUAGGGUAAACUGUUGGAAUACAACCAGCGUGCUUCGGACAUUAGAAUCACCCUGUAUACGAUGCGCAAGCAUUGACUAGUCCGUGACAUUCACCGACAGCACGGUAACUCGACGUUGAAGAAACGGCUCUUAUCCGACGUUCAUCGGAUACGGUAGUUUAAACACAUGAACGCCUAUAUGGCCAAGGUCGGAUAUGGUUCAACCAUUUCUUUAGGAACUUUUUCGUAUGUACAUGUGCAACUGCAUCUGUUUUGCGCUCAACGAGGAAAUUAUUUUGUCGACGAAUUUUUUACCAUAAAAAAACGUCAUUUAAUAUGUAGUAAAUUAGUUUUUUAUUUAAUUAGAGAAAAGCUUCAAAGUGUGUGUUCACCCAUUUGGAUGCAUGUCUUGCCACACUUUUUUUUCUUUUUUCAUUAAAGUUCCUACACGUUCAAGAAUUGCCGGAUUUCCCUUUAUUUCUUGGCAAGAGAAGCUGGCAUAGCAAUCGGUACCGAAGCAGAUACUCGAGGUAACGGAAUUAAAUUUGUCUGAUGUCCUUUUAGAUCCAUUUGCUCCAUGUCCAUUUUGCUCAAUUCGAAGGAUCCAUCUGUAUUCGUCAAAAGUUGGGAUCAUCAAUUUUACCACACCCCGUAUAAUAGAGACUCGCGACCAUGAACAUGUUAACUUUUCGACAACGUAUUUUUACCGUGGCACCAAAUGGGCGCACGCCUUUAACACACUACGAGUUCCGUGUAUCGCGCAUGCCAGAGAUUAGAUAAAUUUUAUGUAAAAUUACAUAUCAACAUAAUUCGUUGGUCACACUUGACAAAUCGCAAUUACCAUGUACUAUACCAUCUACUAUGUUACUAAAAUCCACGUAAACCUAUCCAAAUUUAUUGUCUUUGCCACGAUACCGUCAGAAAAUUAUUGAAGAAACGAAGAAUCUACAUGGAAAAUGAUCCAGUAGCGAAACGAUUUCGAUUCGUAAAUUCGUCAGAGUUGAGAGUAUAUGCGUAUCCAGCGUCAAAUGGUCGAGGCCACCUCGUGCGUACGAUCCGUCGUUAAUCAUUCCACGCCCCUCGGUCCCAUUUCGACGACCAAGAACGAUCCUGGUAUAUACAACUCGAACACCCGGUAUUUCCGGCCGUGGCAGUCGUGCUGUUGCUAACUGGCGAGUGGGGCAGCAACGGUUCGAAGGACGCACAACUCGAGAAGACUCGGGCCAUGGUGUUGGUGCAUAUUCGACGUUACAAGAAGAAGAAGAAGAAGAAGAAGAAGAAGAAGGAGGCUCGCGUCAGCUGGGCCAGAAAGAGAGAAGCGAAAGCGCGGAUAGGAGAAGAAAAAGGUUUUGGGCCCUACGAACGAGGAUUAUGAUUGUUCAUCGAAUAGGUGAAAGGGUAUACUGUCGAGAGACAGAAUAUGGGAUCCUCGUAGGUUAAUUCUUCAACUUAGAAUUGAAUUAGAUAUCAGAGAAACGAAUGAAGAGUAAAAUACAUUCGCGCUUGUGUGUAUUUCAGUUGCAACCUUGGAGAUAAAAAAAAAAAAAACAAAAACAAAAGCACGCUCGAAACGUCCGUACACACCGUUUGAAAUUUAAGUCGAACGUAAACAUGUUUUGAAGAUUCUAAUGGAAUGUUUGUUUUAAAUUUGUAAGUAUUGUUUUUGAGUAGGUUUUGUGCCAAGUGGAAUUUUUCUGACUAAACUUUGGAUCGAGCCUCGAGUUUUUUCAAGUAUGGGAAGAGCCACGAUGAACUUUAUACCGGGGACGAAGAAACGUUGCGACAGUUGAAGUGCAAGGAAGCUAAACCGACGGAUAGAAGGAGAAGAGAAGACGAGAAUCUGGGGCCCGCGACGUCCUUGGGUCAGUAGUCCCUGCUCCGUUCACGGCCGUCUCGAUGUCCCCCCACCAUGGACGUGCGACGCAGGAAAGGUCCUCGCGCUCUGCUUUUCCUUUCCGUGCUAUUUCCCUUCGGUUUUUUUUAUUAGGGAUGAUUCGAAGAAAGUUUCCUACACCGAUAAGGUACAACCUCUAUUUACUAUUGUCGCAAAAAGGAGAAAUAAUUUGAUACGAAACAAAGAUUAUUGACUCUCAAACAAUCAAUAUUCUCAGAAAAUCGACCAAAGAUUCUAACGUGGAUCGAUUCACGGUGUCGGUCGAUUGUGAGUCACGUUGCGGCGAAACGAACCGUGUCCCGAUUUCCGUUUAAGGAGAGGAAAACCACGAAUGCCAGGCGGAUUAAUAGCAGAGUCUGUUUCGAGCCCGUUCGCUUGCAGAUUUCAGAUUUCCUUUAACCAAGAAUGCCGAGCACGCGAACCUUUCGAACAAUGAGGAGGCCCGCAGAUCCACUUGAGACAAACACUUAUCCCAGGGUGCCGAUCCAACAGACGAAACAUGCUUGGCAACAUGUGUUUUAAUAGGGAAAAAGGAUCAGAAGCAAAUGGCAGGACACCGCGUUUCCCGUUAGCAGGAACGAUGUGCUCGAGUCGACAGCAUGUCGACACGAAAGUUAAGAGGGUCUGGAAACGAGAGGAAAUCGACACCGUCUGGAAACAAAAGCCCCGGGCAAUUAACGCGUCGAUGAAGAUGUAUCUGCUUCCAAUAUACAAUUCCCCAGCUCUCUUGGACGCAUGGCAAGACGGAAUAUACGCGAGUUGCGAAUAACGCGGCGUGUCCCGAGCAAACGAGACGACGCGACGGGGCAUAUCCUCUUACGAAGUACGAAAAAGACCACGAAGGAUUGAUAAAGCGUGAAAGUCAGCCAUGGUCCGUCUCUACCCUCGUCCUCGUGGAGGAUGAUGCAACCCCCCCGUUUCAUUAGAAGAUGACUGCAGCGUUACGAUACACGAUUCUCGAGGAACAUUCGCGUGUGCAAAGGGAAGGAGGGCCCUCUCGAUUACACGCACCGCCUGUAUAAUCCGAUACGCAGACGAUGAUCGGCGAAUCAAAAACGAAGGCUAUCGAAAUUCUGGUUUCGCUAGAACAAGCUCGAUCCUCCCGACGGUAGAAGGCGCAAGGAUUUCAGGACCAGGACAGGGCCUCGUUGCGCGUAUCUUGGGACUCGAUGGCCCCCAAAACCGGUUCCGUCUGGAUUUCACGCGACAAGCGUUUCUUUUAUUUUUCCCUAUAUUUUUUUUCGUCGAGGAUCCAAAGGAAUACGACUUUGCGAAUGUAAGCCCCGUGUUGCAUUACGAUUACCAGGCCGUUAUCGUCCACGUCGUAAACAGUAAUUAUAAGUGUCCUCCAGAAUCAUAUUUAAUCCCUGCAUUAUUCUUCGGCUCUCUCUCUCUCUCUCUCUCUCACUCUCUCGAGCAAGGACUGCGGUUCCUUGAAAUCGGAAGAAAUCAAAGUGGAGUUUGAACUCGCUACGGUACUUGGGUAUUCGAACACUUUGGUGGGCUGAGCUCCUAUUAUCUGAGCUCACGCAACGUAGCGCUUAUGCGGAUUCGUCAACUCGAGCUAUACGAAUCAUUUAGUUAUCCGAACCUGCUUGUCCCGUGAUACGUUCAAAUAAAUAGAGUUCUACUUGUAAUAUAAUAUCAGUGCGCUACAUUAAUAGUACUCCCGACAGCACUUGGAUAAUACGUAGAAUAAGAAUCUCGUUAUACCUCGCGUUUCGAAUCAUCUCCGUGCUCCAUUGUUUUCGACACGGACCACCAUAGUUUUAUUUUACGCGGCCAUAAGCAACAGCUUAUAAAUUAAAAAGUUUCCGUUAGCUUUCCAAUUACAAAAAUUCAUACGUAUCGUAGAUAAAGUAACAAACAAAAAAAUGUGAUUAAAAUUAAAUUGUACGGACUCGAUACUUAACAACUUUGGAUACUAUAGAAAACAAAUUGUAUACGUUAGUUAUUUUUUGACUGGACAAGGCGGAAGCCCGUAUUAAUAUCGAAAUUUGUAAAUUCACCGACCGUGGAGGC